GAUGAACGCUGGCGGCGUGCCUAAUACAUGCAAGUCGAGCGAACAGACGAGGAGCUUGCUCCUCUGACGUUAGCGGCGGACGGGUGAGUAACACGUGGAUAACCUACCUAUAAGACUGGGAUAACUUCGGGAAACCGGAGCUAAUACCGGAUAAUAUAUUGAACCGCAUGGUUCAAUAGUGAAAGACGGUUUUGCUGUCACUUAUAGAUGGAUCCGCGCCGCAUUAGCUAGUUGGUAAGGUAACGGCUUACCAAGGCAACGAUGCGUAGCCGACCUGAGAGGGUGAUCGACCACACUGGAACUGAGACACGGUCCAGACGCCUGCGGGAGGCAGCAGUAGAGAAUCUUCCGCAAUGGGCGGAAGCCUGACAGAGCAACGCCGCGUGUGUGAUGAAGGUCUUCGGAUCGUAAAACUCUGUUAUUAGGGAAGAACAAAUGUGUAAGUAACUAUGCACGUCUUGACGGUACCUAAUCAGAAAGCCACGGCUAACUACGUG
Molecule: ribosomal RNA, 497 nt
Filed under: uncultured bacterium
Lineage: Bacteria
Description: partial 16S ribosomal RNA
Rfam family: Bacterial small subunit ribosomal RNA
Source: RNAcentral